CUUUCCGUACACGACUCUCUGCCGAUGAGCGCUGGGAGGCAAGGAGCUGGAGAGAGAGCCAGGGGUCUUGGUGAGUCAGUGGGUCUUGGAACACCUUCAUAUGGACCAGGAGGGAAGGAAGACGUUCC
Leopardus geoffroyi (Geoffroy's cat) is the source of this 128-nucleotide long non-coding RNA. RefSeq lists it as uncharacterized. The transcript is spliced from 3 exons. NCBI's taxonomy places the organism in Eukaryota, Metazoa, Chordata, Mammalia, Carnivora, Felidae. The record is from RefSeq and is a predicted model, not a curated record.